CAGUAGCCACGGUAAUACGAAGGGGGCUAGCGUUGUUCGGAAUUACUGGGCGUAAAGGGCGCGUAGGCGGCCAUUCAAGUUAGAUGUGAAAGCCCUGGGCUCAACCUAGGAAUUGCAUUUGAUACUGUUUGGCUUGAGUUCGGGAGAGGUGAGUGGAAUUCCCAGUGUAGAGGUGAAAUUCGUAGAUAUUGGGAAGAACACCAGUGGCGAAGGCGGCUCACUGGACCGACACUGACGCUGAGGCGCGAAAGCGUGGGGAGCAAACGGGAUUAGAUACCCGCGUAGUCCCUGUCUCUUAUAA
This 301-nucleotide ribosomal RNA is filed under the name uncultured bacterium. Its description in RNAcentral is "partial 16S ribosomal RNA". It matches the Rfam family "Bacterial small subunit ribosomal RNA", at positions 509 to 809 of the family's 1533-position model. The record is from RNAcentral.